Long non-coding RNA from Dama dama (fallow deer), 990 nucleotides. RefSeq lists it as uncharacterized. The record is from RefSeq and is a predicted model, not a curated record. The transcript is spliced from 3 exons. NCBI's taxonomy places the organism in Eukaryota, Metazoa, Chordata, Mammalia, Artiodactyla, Cervidae.
AGGCUGGGGAGGGAGCUAGGGAGGUGAGCUCUGCUCUGCUCUGCUCGCCUCGGCUCGGCGGAGGCUGAGAUCCCGGCGGGCGCCUCCACCCCGGCGCCCGCUGAGCCCUGGCACCUCGAACUCAGGGCCAUGGCGUUCCGUGGGCGGGAACGUGCCGGGAGGACCGCGAGGGAGAGCACGGAUGGGCACACUGGGCUCGAUGUACAGCUUCCCACUACCCAGGAAGGAAGGAAUUGGCCUUGAUUUUGGCAACCUCCUGCUUGUGUAAGCCCUUUCUUAGCCAUUGUCUCAGUUGAUCACCCAAUGGUCCUGAAAAAUUGGUGAUGCUGUCCCCACUUUACAAAGGCAUAAUCGGAGCCCCAAGUCAGAGGACUAGGAAGUUGGGUUGGGCAUCAGAUGGGGCUUGGUGGAUUCCGGAGCACAUGCUGUCUCCCUGCCCUGUGCCGACUUCCUGCAGCACACGUUCCAAACGCAGGCAGAGGGACUGAAAGGAGAAGAGGCCCCGAUGGGCAGGGCGACUUCUCUGCAUGUUCUCAGGGGAGGAAGGCCGCUCCUUCUCAGGUGCAGGAGUGAAGUCUGAGGAAUGCUCAAGCAGUCCUUGCAGGUUGAAGAUGUGGCUGGGCAAGAAGCCACAGGAGCUGUAGAAGUCAACAGAAUCUUUUCAGACCCAAAAGAAAAACCUACUCCAUCCGGUUGGCUUGGGUGCCCUGUGAGAAGCCUUCCUGAUUGACUGAAAGAUGAGGCUAAGUUCUAACAAGCUGAGUGGCUCCUUCAAGAAGCCUGUGUGCAGGAUGGAAGUGGAGAGGCCAUAGCCUCCAGCCUGGGCAGCCCACUGGCACCUGGAGCCACCUCAUCUUUGCCUCCCCUUUGCUCCUGUGUCUACAAGCUGUCCAUCCCAGCCCACCCUGGUUUCUCCUGUGUCUUUUGAGCUGAGAUUUCUCUGAAAUGGAAGUCCCGUCUCAAGUCUAAUAAAGACUCUUGAUUACUGAA